AUUGAACGCUGGCGGCAUGCUUUACACAUGCAAGUCGAACGGUAACAGGCCUUCGGGUGCUGACGAGUGGCGAACGGGUGAGUAAUGCAUCGGAACGUACCCAGAGGUGGGGGAUAACGCAGCGAAAGCUGUGCUAAUACCGCAUGUGAUCUGAGGAUGAAAGCGGGGGACCGAGCAGCAAUGUUUGGCCUCGCGCCUUUGGAGCGGCCGAUGUCGGAUUAGCUAGUUGGUGGGGUAAAGGCCUACCAAGGCGACGAUCCGUAGCUGGUCUGAGAGGACGACCAGCCACACUGGGACUGAGACACGGCCCAGACCCCUACGGGAGGCAGCAGUGGGGAAUUUUGGACAAUGGGCGCAAGCCUGAUCCAGCAAUGCCGCGUGCGGGAAGAAGGCUUUCGGGUUGUAAACCGCUUUUGGCAGGAACGAAACGGUGUCCGCUAAUACCGGGCGCUAAUGACGGUACCUGCAGAAUAAGCACCGGCUAACUACGUG
This 492-nucleotide ribosomal RNA is filed under the name uncultured bacterium. RNAcentral's name for it is "partial 16S ribosomal RNA". It matches the Rfam family "Bacterial small subunit ribosomal RNA", at positions 29 to 507 of the family's 1533-position model. The record is from RNAcentral.